UGAUCCUGCUCAGAUGAACGCUGGCGGUAUGCUAACACAUGCAAGUCGAACGGCAGCAUAAGAGAGCUGCUCUCUGAUGCGAGUGGCGGACGGGUGAGUAACGCGUAGGAAUCUGCCUUAAAGUGGGGGACAACCAGGGGAAACUCUGGCUAAUACCGCAUAAUCCUUACGGGGCAAAGUGGGCCUCUUUACAAUGCUCACGCUUUAAGAUGAGCGUGCGUCCGAUUAGCUAGUUGGUGGGGUAAAAGCCUACCAAGGCGACGAUCGGUAGCUGGUCUGAGAGGACGAUCAGCCACACUGGGACUGAGACACGGCCCAGACUCCUACGGGAGGCAGCAGUGGGGAAUAUUGGACAAUGGGGGCAACCCUGAUCCAGCAAUACCGCGUGUGUGAAGAAGGCCUGCGGGUUGUAAAGCACUUUCAGUAGGGAGGAGAUGUUGAUGAUUAAUACUCAUCAGCGGAGACGUUACCUACAGAAGAAGCACCGGCUAACUCUGUGCCAGCAGCCGCGGUAAUACAGAGGGUGCAAGCGUUAAUCGGAAUUACUGGGCGUAAAGCGCACGUAGGUGGAUAGGCAAGUUGGAUGUGAAAGCCCCGGGCUCAACCUGGGAAUGCCAUUCAAAACUGCCUGUCUAGAGUACAGUAGAGGGAAGUGGAAUUUCAGGUGUAGCGGUGAAAUGCGUAGAUAUCUGAAGGAACACCAGUGGCGAAGGCGGCUUCCUGGACUGAUACUGACACUGAGGUGCGAAAGCGUGGGUAGCGAACAGGAUUAGAUACCCUGGUAGU
This 786-nucleotide ribosomal RNA is filed under the name uncultured marine bacterium. RNAcentral's name for it is "bacterial SSU rRNA". It matches the Rfam family "Bacterial small subunit ribosomal RNA", at positions 14 to 794 of the family's 1533-position model. The record is from RNAcentral.